This 74-nucleotide transfer RNA is filed under the name Escherichia phage vB_Eco_slurp01. RNAcentral describes it as "tRNA-Thr". It matches the Rfam family "tRNA". Rfam says of the family: Transfer RNA (tRNA) molecules are approximately 80 nucleotides in length. Their secondary structure includes four short double-helical elements and three loops (D, anti-codon, and T loops). The record is from RNAcentral. Lineage: Duplodnaviria; Heunggongvirae; Uroviricota; Caudoviricetes. RNAcentral also lists the same sequence under 1 other name.
GCCGACUUAGCUCAGUAGGUAGAGCAAUCCCCUUGUAAGGGAAAGGUCACCAGUUCGAUUCCGGUAGUCGGCAC